This 357-nucleotide unclassified non-coding RNA is filed under the name Athalia rosae (coleseed sawfly). RNAcentral describes it as "misc RNA ENSAEAG00005009231.1". Lineage: Eukaryota; Metazoa; Arthropoda; Insecta; Hymenoptera; Athaliidae. The record is from RNAcentral.
UUAAUCCGAAUCCUAACUAUUAACGACCGUGACGAGUCGAAAACUUCAGGUUCACAUACGUAAUGAAAAAAUGUAUCUAACUGGUAGCAGGUAAAUAAAAGUUGCGUGAACCUAAAUCAAAUCGCGCAAUGUUUACAUGCUCCACUUAUGAACACGGUUUGUGUACAUACGUGUUAUGCAGAAUUCGCGGUUUCCGAAAUGCGGUGGUUCAAACAAUUUUAGACUGACUACAAAUUCCGUAUCUCCAGAAAUGACGUGGGUAAACGAAUUCAAGUAUAGGUCCGAUCAUUUCACUAGUAGGAAAACGUAUCUGAAUCGAGUCCUAGACUAAUAAUAGAAAGCCAGAUAUUGUUCGAG